Molecule: ribosomal RNA, 238 nt
Filed under: uncultured bacterium
Lineage: Bacteria
Description: partial 16S ribosomal RNA
Rfam family: Bacterial small subunit ribosomal RNA
Source: RNAcentral
GAUCAUGGCUCAGAUUGAACGCUGGCGGCAGGCCUAACACAUGCAAGUCGAGCGGUAACAGAUCCAGCUUGCUGGAUGCUGACGAGCGGCGGACGGGUGAGUAAUGCAUAGGAAUCUGCCCGAUAGUGGGGGAUAACCUGGGGAAACCCAGGCUAAUACCGCAUACGUCCUACGGGAGAAAGGGGGCUCCGGCCCCCGUUAUGGGAUGAGCCUAUGUCGGAUUAGCUAGUUGGUGAGG